GAGUUUGAUCCUGGCUCAAGAUGAACGCUGGCGGCGUGCUUAACACAUGCAAGUCGAACGAAGAAGUUUUAGUUUACUAGAACAACUGAGUGGCGGACGGGUGAGUAACGCGUGGGUAACCUGCCCUAUGGAGGGGGACAACAGUGGGAAACCGCUGCUAAUACCGCAUAGCUUAUUAAGACUGCAUGGUCAUAAUAAGAAAGAGCUAUCGCCAUAGGAUGGGCCCGCGUCUGAUUAGCCAGUUGGUAGGGUAAAAGCCUACCAAAGCAACGAUCAGUAGCCGGCCUGAGAGGGUGAACGGCCACAUUGGGACUGAGACACGGCCCAGACUCCUACGGGAGGCAGCAGUGGGGGAUAUUGCACAAUGGGGGGAACCCUGAUGCAGCAACGCCGCGUGAGUGAAGAAGUAUUUCGGUAUGUAAAGCUCUAUCAGCAGGGAAGAUGAUGACGGUACCUGCAUAAGAAGCCCCGGCUAACUACGUGCCAGCAGCCGCGGUAAUACGUAGGGGGCAAGCGUUAUCCGGAUUUACUGGGUGUAAAGGGAGUGUANGCGGUACGGCAAGUCUGAUGUGAAAACCCUAAGCUCAACUAAGGGAGUGCAUUGGAAACUGUCGGACUANAGUGUGGGAGAGGCAGGCGGAAUUCCUAGUGUAGCGGUGAAAUGCGUAGAUAUUAGGAGGAACACCAGUGGCGAAAG
This 697-nucleotide ribosomal RNA is filed under the name uncultured bacterium. RNAcentral's name for it is "bacterial SSU rRNA". It matches the Rfam family "Bacterial small subunit ribosomal RNA", at positions 9 to 721 of the family's 1533-position model. The record is from RNAcentral.